GGUUAAGCGACUAAGCGUACACGGUGGAUGCCCUGGCAGUCAGAGGCGAUGAAGGACGUGCUAAUCUGCGAUAAGCGUCGGUAAGGUGAUAUGAACCGUUAUAACCGGCGAUUUCCGAAUGGGGAAACCCAGUGUGAUUCGUCACACUAUCAUUAACUGAAUCCAUAGGUUAAUGAGGCGAACCGGGGGAACUGAAACAUCUAAGUACCCCGAGGAAAAGAAAUCAACCGAGAUUCCCCCAGUAGCGGCGAGCGAACGGGGAGCAGCCCAGAGCCUGAAUCAGUGUGUGUGUUAGUGGAAGCGUCUGGAAAGGCGCGCGAUACAGGGUGACAGCCCCGUACACAAAAAUGCACAUAUUGUGAGCUCGAUGAGUAGGGCGGGACACGUGGUAUCCUGUCUGAAUAUGGGGGGCCCAUCCUCCAAGGCUAAAUACUCCUGACUGACCGAUAGUGAACCAGUACCGUGAGGGAAAGGCGAAAAGAACCCCGGCGAGGGGAGUGAAAAAGAACCUGAAACCGUGUACGUACAAGCAGUGGGAGCACGCUUAGGCGUGUGACUGCGUACCUUUUGUAUAAUGGGUCAGCGACUUAUAUUCUGUAGCAAGGUUAACCGAAUAGGGGAGCCGAAGGGAAACCGAGUCUUAACUGGGCGUUAAGUUGCAGGGUAUAGACCCGAAACCCGGUGAUCUAGCCAUGGGCAGGUUGAAGGUUGGGUAACACUAACUGGAGGACCGAACCGACUAAUGUUGAAAAAUUAGCGGAUGACUUGUGGCUGGGGGUGAAAGGCCAAUCAAACCGGGAGAUAGCUGGUUCUCCCCGAAAGCUAUUUAGGUAGCGCCUCGUGAAUUCAUCUCCGGGGGUAGAGCACUGUUUCGGCAAGGGGGUCAUCCCGACUUACCAACCCGAUGCAAACUGCGAAUACCGGAGAAUGUUAUCACGGGAGACACACGGCGGGUGCUAACGUCCGUCGUGAAGAGGGAAACAACCCAGACCGCCAGCUAAGGUCCCAAAGUCAUGGUUAAGU
Molecule: ribosomal RNA, 1023 nt
Filed under: Shigella sonnei
Lineage: Bacteria; Pseudomonadati; Pseudomonadota; Gammaproteobacteria; Enterobacterales; Enterobacteriaceae
Description: partial 23S ribosomal RNA
Rfam family: Bacterial large subunit ribosomal RNA
Source: RNAcentral